GCACGGGUGCGGAGUGGGGACCCGGGGAGACCCUGCGGAGCUUGGACUGGGAUUCGAGCCCUGCCGUGGGAAGGGUGCCACGGGGUUGGCUGGACGCCCCCAAACAUUCCAGAUGUGGUCGAGAGAACCUUCCUGGACACGCCCAGGCGAGGCCAGGCCCCAGAGUACACUUCACGGAACUCCUGAAUUCCAAUCCUGCCCCACCCUUCCCCGCUGGGUGACCUUGGUCUGCUGUGAUGGAGAUUGGGGAGGAAGACCCUAACAGAUUUAAAAUGCCAUUCUCACCAGACAACAUCAGGGAUACAUGCUAUCAACAGGACUUAC
This is a long non-coding RNA of Manis javanica (Malayan pangolin), 324 nucleotides long. RefSeq lists it as uncharacterized. Lineage: Eukaryota; Metazoa; Chordata; Mammalia; Pholidota; Manidae. The record is from RefSeq and is a predicted model, not a curated record.